AUGCACGCUGGCGGCGUGCCUAAUACAUGCAAGUCGAGCGAACGGACGAGAAGCUUGCUUUUCUGAUGUUAGCGGCGGACGGGUGAGUAACACGUGGAUAACCUACCUAUAAGACUGGGAUAACUUCGGGAAACCGGAGCUAAUACCGGAUAAUAUUUUGAACCGCAUGGUUCAAAAGUGAAAGACGGUCUUGCUGUCACUUAUAGAUGGAUCCGCGCUGCAUUAGCUAGUUGGUAAGGUAACGGCUUACCAAGGCAACGAUGCAUAGCCGACCUGAGAGGGUGAUCGGCCACACUGGAACUGAGACACGGUCCAGACUCCUACGGGAGGCAGCAGUAGGGAAUCUUCCGCAAUGGGCGAAAGCCUGACGGAGCAACGCCGCGUGAGUGGUGAAGGUCUUCGGAUCGUAAAACUCUGUUAUUAGGGAAGAACAUAUGUGUAAGUAACUGUGCACAUCUUGACGGUACCUAAUCAGAAAGCCACGGCUAACUACGUG
Molecule: ribosomal RNA, 496 nt
Filed under: uncultured bacterium
Lineage: Bacteria
Description: partial 16S ribosomal RNA
Rfam family: Bacterial small subunit ribosomal RNA
Source: RNAcentral